This 433-nucleotide ribosomal RNA is filed under the name uncultured bacterium. Its description in RNAcentral is "partial 16S ribosomal RNA". It matches the Rfam family "Bacterial small subunit ribosomal RNA", at positions 29 to 507 of the family's 1533-position model. The record is from RNAcentral.
AACGAACGCUGGCGGCAGGCCUAACACAUGCAAGUCGAGCGAGGACUCCGUUCCUAGUGGCGGUCGGGUGAGUAACGCGUGGGAACGUGCCCUUUGCUUCCGAAUACUCCUGGUAAACGGGGAGUAAUACCGGAUGAGCUCCUCGAGGACAAGAUAUAUCGUCGAAGGAUCGGCCCGGGUUGGUUUAGGCUGUUGGGGGUGUAAUGGCCUACCAAGCCGACGCUCCAUAGCUGGUUUGAGAGGAUGAGCAGCCACACUGGGGCUGGGACACGGCCCAGACUCCUAGGGGAGGCAGGAGAGGGGGAUCUUAGACAAUGGGGGAAACCCUGAUCUAGCCAUGCUGGGUGAGCGAUGAAGGCCUGAGGGUUGUAAAGCUGUUUCAGAUGGGAAGAUAAUGACGGUACCAGCAGAAGAAGCCCCGGCUAACUUCGUG